GGGCUGUUCAAAGGGAGCGGAAGUUAACCAAAGCCGCGCGCUGCGGUUAUUUAUCCGUGCCAGGGCUUUUAUCUCGCCUUCGGGAUCCAGGUAUAUCAACAGAAAGCUGGGUUCCUCAACACAAUCAGAUAAAACCUAACAGACAUUUUGGAACAUACAGUCAAGAGAAAAAUGAGAAACUUUGGAAACACGAUGCUCUACAAAAGAAACAUUGUUCAUUCCAAAGCCACAAGAUGACAACUCCAACUCGUAGAUCAAAAAAUCUAUCCAGCAGACCUCUGUCAGAUGACAAAACCACCGUCCUCUCACAACCUCAAUUUCAACCACAAAUAUGCAGACCCUGUUGAUUUCCUAGCCAACUUUGAAUCCAUACUGAAAACAAACAAUCUCAGUCACGAGACACAAGAGGACAUCAGGCAGAGAAUAGUCUCCAACAUCCAAUGAAGCAAACACAAUGAAACAUUAAACCAGAAGGAGAGGAAGGUGUUAAAGGAACUGUGACAAAAUGAAAACAUUGUCAUCUUCUGGCAGACAAAGGCAGACUGACUGUGAUAAUGGACAAAACUGAUUAUAUCAAUAAAGCUGAAGAUCUGCUGAAUGACAGCAAUAAUCAACAUCCAGAUAGUCAACAACAAUCCAAUGCACAUCACCCAAAUCAUGACAUUCUACAUAACCAGCCGCAAUAUGGAAACAAACUUUUCCAUACAUCAAAGAAAUGUCAGAAAUGGCGGUCAGAGUUCUACCAUCACUGGGAAUAAUGAUGGCUCACAAACCGAUAUAAACACUCCAACAAGAGCUGUCCAGAACCAAGGACGAAAUAUUGAAGGAAAAAAAACAGCAACGUUGUCUACAAGCUCAAAUGCAACAACUGUGACCAAUUCUGUGUCGGCAAAUAAGGUGACAACAAAAAACAAGAAUCCACAAGCACUGACUAGCAAUCAACCGGCAUGACCACAAAUCUCUGCUCUUGACCCAUACUGGCAUUGAGGAACACCAGUUCAACUGGGACAGAACAAAAAUCAUUGGCCAUGUCACCACAAGCCAUGCAUGCAAAUUCAUCAAAGUCUGGUAUUCAAUGAACAGGUCAAUCAACAAACAUAUCAAUCUGGAACCAGCCGAAGAGCCCAUAUAAGGAGCUGGAUCAAUCGGAUGACCAACCAACGACAACACCGGCAACUUCCUCACCUGGUGACUUUCACACUAUGUGACCAACUGACCAUGUCACCACUUACGAUAGAUAAAAGCAGAAGGAAACUAAAACGAAGCUUCAACCGAAGUCCUGUUGAAGAUGUUUGUUGCCUAGCCUUGUCACAAAACAUUCAGAAGCCAAAAAGCAAGCUCAAAGAACAAACCACCGCACACAUUUACCACCCGAAUUAAAAAUAUUUUCCAUCAUUUCCAAAACAGGUAUUUUUUCAAAAUCUGCUGGGUUUUUGAUAUAAUAAAUAAUAUACUUUUUCUCACACCAGUUUUUUUUAUUUUCUACCUGUUCCAAAAUACAUAAAAAUCUGUAGGCAUGAUAUCAAGAAAUCUGGCAUCUCAAAUUGAAACAUGUUUUAACUGGCACUGUAUCUUUUCCACAGAGAAAAUUUGUGAGAAAUUUAUUAUGUUAAUAUUUGGGUAUUUACAAUAAUUGACUGUUAUACCCUCAAAUUAAGACUCUCAAGGCAGCAUACACAAAUAAUGCAAUUAUAAAUACAGAUAAAAGUAUUUUUAAAAUGACAAUUAGAGCUUCUAAAAGAUAUCUCAUUGCUAUACAUUUCUUUGUACUUUUGUUUGGUGGGUGCUGAGAAAGGGAUUAUAGAAGACUAAAGGCAGCUGUCACUAGAUUUAGGACAUCUCUAUCUCAGUUCCUUUGGUAAAGAUUUGGGCAAUUUUGGGUGACCAAUAAUCAAGGAGUCUGAGAAUAUAAAAAGAGCAUAGCCACCUCAAAUAACUUGGUUGAGACAGUUAGGAUUUUGCUUUAUUUUUAAUUUUAGGCCUUGUAUUACUGUUUUUAUCUAUUUCUUAAUCCAAAUUUGGAGAAAACUGAUGUGGAUUUCAGCAAUUGUAGUUUGUGGAGGCUGCAAGGACCACAAAAAUGGGACUUGGGAAUUUCUUGGGCGCUGGGGCCAUAGGAUUUCUAUUUGAUUUAGCAUAUGGUGGCUGCAUGUCUAUUACACUAAUUGGUGACUGGAGCAUCAGGCUUGCAUCUACUACUGCCCUAUUAUAUGUUUGUUUGUUUGUUUGUUUGUUUGUAUGUAUGCAUAUAUCCCAACUUUAUUAUUUUUACAAAUCUUCAAGGCAGCAAAUACAUCCAGCAUGCCUUCCUCCUCCUGUUUUCUCCACAACAGCCCUCUGAGUGGGUUGGACUGAAAGAGAAUGACUGGCCCAAGGUCACCCAGUUGCUUUUCAUUGCUAAGGGGGGACUUGAACUCACUGUCCCCUACUUUCUAGGCCAAGAGUAUCAAACUGGUGGCCACUUGGGCUAGAUGCAUCACAUGCAGGCCAAGCUCACCCCAACUCCAGGAAUGGGAAAAACAUCGCAAAACAUCACAUGAAGGUAAGGUGACACAGCAAGUUUGACACUGGUGUUCUGGCCUGAUGUUUUAUUCUUUAGACAAUAUGUAGUGCAGGAGUAGGUAACGAAGGUAGGGAGCUUCUGCCAGGGCAGGUCACUUUCCCAUUGGCUUUCAUAAUGGUUUGCCCACCCACAUAGCGCUAUGAACAAGAGCAUAGUUGGAAGGUUGUCUUGUAGGUCUUCUAGCCCAAUCCCCUGCUCAGCAGGUGACCCCGUACCAUUCUGGCAAGUGGUUGUCCAGUCUCGUCUUAACAUUGAAGGCAAGACAUUCCACUGAUUAAUUGUUCUCAUUGUCAGGAAAUGUUUCCUUAUUUCUAGGUUAGUUUUCUCCUUGCUUAGUUUCCAUCAAUUGUUUCUUGUCUUGCUUUCUGGUGCUGUGGAAAAUAGGUUGAUCCCCUCUUCUUUGUGGCAGCCUCUCGAAUAUUGCAAGACUGCUAUAUCAUAUCACCUUUAGUUUUUCUUUUCACUAGAUUAGACAUAUCCAAUUCCUGCAACAGUUCUUCAUAUGUUUUAGUCUCCAGGCCCUUCAUCUUUAAAGCUUAGUCUCUUUUUUAUGUAAGUAAGUCUCUUCUGGGAUCAGGAGGAAGCCCUUGCAAGUAUUUUUUUUCAUACAUUGUCUCUCUCACAUCAAAAUUCAAAAAGAGCUCAAAUAGAGAAUUAUCCAUAAGGACCAGGUAUGGAUUGGGCCAGCUGUUAAACAGAUGUUUUGGACCACUUUUGUGAGAAACAGCUGGCGUGAAUGAAAUCAUUUCCAGUGUCUAGCACUAAGCUGAGUGCAGAAUCCUGCAUCCAUUAUUUUGUUUCUCUGCUUUUUGGCUGAACAUAUUGCUGCAGCUAAGAGAAAAAAGCCAGGAAUGAGAUAGUAUUUUUUAAAAUCCUCCUGCAGCUUUCAUAACACCCGAGGUCUUAAGGCCUUUCUUAACAAAGAUUCUGCUUGGAACACAUCAACUCCGUGCUCAAGGUGGUCUCCAUGGCAACAAAGAUAACUUGGAGGCCUGGGCAACAAGAGAGCCCUGGAGGUAGUUCAAGGCAAAAGCUGGACUCCAUUCUUCACACUCAGAUGCUGUUUGCCGUGUGUGCGCGCGCGUGUGUGUGCAAGGGUGUAGCAGAGUCACAGCUUAUUUGAUGAAAAAAGCAGCAAUAAUAUUGGAUGGAAAUAUUGCAAGGUAGACAGUGUGCCUUCAAAGAAGUGUUUAAUGUUGUGGGCUAUUCAGGCUUCAGAAUUUCACUUAUUUCCAUCUCUGGUGGUACUAGGCCCAAAAAACAAUCAAGGAAUUGAGCUUUUAUAUGAUCACUGCUGGAAAAUGUGAAACGUUCAUUUGCCUUAUUUACUGGUUAGAGAGAAAGAUGCCAGUGCCAAAUACAAUUCCUUGUGGUAGAAUGUAAAGUGUUAUAAUUUCUCACAGAGGGAAUUUGCAACAUGCUUUCCCCUUCCAUACCAUGCCAAAUGAGAAUAGAAAUGGCCUUGAUAACAUAGGAACUGCUGACAUAAUCAACAUUAUUUUAACAAUAAUGUUAAAAUCUUGACUUUUUAUACACAAGGACAUGAUUUGGGCCCUCCUCACAAAAUGGAAAGAGGAGAGACCUUUUUGUGAAUAGACGUGUUGCUCAUUUGAAUGUGCUAAUCUGAGGUUCUCUUACGCGAUGACACUUGUACUUGUUUUUGAGAAGCUUAUUUGUACAGAAUUCUCCUGCUUCCUGUUCUGUAUUUUCAGCUUUUGGUACAAGAAGUAGUUGUGACUUCAAAUGGAGUUUUGGAAAUGUAAAAAGACUUCUUCACAAUUGGAUAACUGCUUUCCUGUCAAACAGACAACAAGAGGUCAAAAUUGACAAUGCUCUAUCAAAUCCGGUUCCUGUCAAAAGUGGCGUUCCUCAAGGCAGCGUUCUUGAACCAAUGCUCUUCAUACUAUACAUAAAUGAUCUCUGUGACCUUAUCUCAAGUUAUUGUGUUCUCUUUGCUGAUGAUGUCAAACUAUUUAACACCACCAACAAUACUAGUACCCUUCAAAAAGACCUUGACUUUGUAUCCGAUUGGUCUAAAACUUGGCAACUCCAAAUCUCAACCAGCAAAUGCUCAGUCUUACAUUUUGGAAAAAAGAACCCAAACACUAAGUUCAAGCUUGAUGGACAUUACCUUACAGAUGACUCCCACCCUGUUAAAGACCUUGGAGUUUUCAUAUCAAAUGAUCUAAGUGCCAAAGCCCACUGCAACUACAUAGCAAAAAAGGCUCUAAGAGUUGUAAACCUAAUUUUGCAUAGCUUCUUUUCCAAAAACUCUACACUACUAACCAGAGCAUACAAAACAUUUGCUAGACCUAUUCUUGAAUACAGCUCACCUGUCUGGAACUCAUACCACAUCUCUGACAUUAAUACAAUUGAAUGUGUCCAGAAAUAUUUUACAAGAAGAGUUCUCCGCUCCUCUGAA
Molecule: long non-coding RNA, 4985 nt
Organism: Ahaetulla prasina
Lineage: Eukaryota; Metazoa; Chordata; Lepidosauria; Squamata; Colubridae
Exons: 3
Source: RefSeq, a predicted model, not a curated record